This 307-nucleotide ribosomal RNA is filed under the name uncultured bacterium. Its description in RNAcentral is "partial 16S ribosomal RNA". It matches the Rfam family "Bacterial small subunit ribosomal RNA", at positions 506 to 809 of the family's 1533-position model. The record is from RNAcentral.
AGACAGCAGUAGCCGCGGGAAUACGAAGGGUGCAAGCGUUACUCGGAAUUACUGGGCGUAAAGCGUGCGUAGGUGGUGGUUUAAGUCCGUUGUGAAAGCCCUGGGCUCAACCUGGGAAUUGCAGUGGAUACUGGGUCACUAGAGUGUGGUAGAGGAUAGUGGAAUUUCCGGUGUAGCAGUGAAAUGCGUAGAGAUCGGAAGGAACAUCUGUGGCGAAGGCGACUAUCUGGGCCAACACUGACACUGAGGCACGAAAGCGUGGGGAGCAAACAGGAUUAGAUACCCCAGUAGUCCCUGUCUCUUAUAA